RNAcentral lists this ribosomal RNA (760 nucleotides) under uncultured bacterium. RNAcentral's name for it is "bacterial SSU rRNA". It matches the Rfam family "Bacterial small subunit ribosomal RNA", at positions 31 to 799 of the family's 1533-position model. The record is from RNAcentral.
GAACGCUGGCGGUGCGCCUUAUGCAUGCAAGUUGAGCGAAGCUUUUUGGUAGUUUACUACUAGAAAUGACUGAGCGGCGAACGGGUGAGUAACGCGUGAGCAAUCUACCUUAGUUACUGGGAUAGCCCGAGGAAACUCGGAUUAAUACCGGAUAUUCUUAUUUUUUCACAUGAAGUUUUAAGGAAAGGUCAGCCGAACUAAGAUGAGCUCGCGUUCUAUCAGCUAGUUGGUGGGGUAAAAGCCUACCAAGGCUACGACGGAUAGCUGGUCUGAGAGGACGAUCAGCCACACUGGGACUGAGACACGGCCCAGACUCCUACGGGAGGCUGCAGCAGGGAAUAUUGUGCAAUGAGCGAAAGCUUGACACAGCGACACCGCGUGUGGGAUGACGGUUCUAGGAUUGUAAACCACUUUCAGGAGGGAAGAAAAUGACGGUACCUCCACAAGAAGACCCGGCCAACUAUGUGCCAGCAGCCGCGGUAAUACAUAGGGGUCAAGCGUUGUCCGGAUUUAUUGGGCGUAAAGAGCUCGUAGGCGGUUCAACAAGUCGGUCGUAAAAGUUUAGGGCUCAACCCUAAAAUGUCGAUCGAUACUGUUGUGACUAGGAUACGGUAGAGGUGAAUGGAAUUCCGAGUGUAGCGGUGAAAUGCGUAGAUAUUCGGAGGAACACCAAUUGCGAAGGCAGUUCACUGGACCGUGAUCGACGCUGAGGAGCGAAAGCUAGGGGAGCAAACAGGAUUAGAUACCCUGGUAGUCCUAG